RNAcentral lists this ribosomal RNA (426 nucleotides) under uncultured bacterium. RNAcentral describes it as "partial 16S ribosomal RNA". It matches the Rfam family "Bacterial small subunit ribosomal RNA", at positions 519 to 953 of the family's 1533-position model. The record is from RNAcentral.
GGUNAUACUANGGGGCCAGCNUNUCNGAUUUAUUGGUGUAAAGGAGCGUAGACNGCNAAGCNANUNUGAAGUNAAGCCCCGGGCUCAACCCCGGAAUUGCUUUGGAAACUGUUUAGCUAGAGUGCAGGAGAGGUAAGCGGAAUUCCUAGUGUAGCGGUGAAAUGCGUAGAUAUUAGGAGGAAUACCGGUGGCGAAGGCGACUUUCUGGACUUAAACUGACGCUGAGGCACGAAAGUGUGGGGAGCAAACAGGAUUAGAUACCCUGGUAGUCCACACCGUAAACGAUGAGUGCUAGGUGUCGGGGGUCAAACCUCGGUGCCGCAGCUAACGCAUUAAGCACUCCGCCUGGGGAGUACGUACGCAAGUAUGAAACUCAAAGGAAUUGACGGGGACCCGCACAAGCAGCGGAGCAUGUGGUUUAAUUCG